CCUAGCAGGCCAAAACUCAAAGAAAAUCAAUAGAAACUCAAAGCAAAAACCCACAUCAGGAAUACAAACCAAAUUCAAGCAUCAAAAUCCCAGUCAAUCAAGAAAAGCAUAAACUUCAAUCCCUAAUUCACAAUCACAAGCAUAAACUCAAAACAUAAAAUCACCAAUUUCUGUUCAAAUCAAAGGAUACAAAUUGCAAUUAAAAUUCACAUGUUUCACAUAUUUUAGAUGUCCAAAAUUGCAAUUCUAUGCUAUCAAAGCAAAAACAAAAAUUUUAACCCAAAAUGAAUUCCCGACGCUAAAAAUCUCAACAAUCAAAAUCAAACAAGCAAAAGGCUGUGUCACAAUGAUUCAAGAAACUCAUUAGAUUGAAGCAAACAAUGGCAAACAAUAGAGGAGGAAGGGUUGGCGAUGGCAAACUAUAGAAAAGGAGAAGGCUUAGUUGGGUUGGCAAUGGUUGAUGAGCUCAUCGAUUGUUGGCUCCACAUUAGGAUUGACAAUGAUGUGAAUGGAGUUGCAGUGAGGGAGAUUAACAACAUGACAAACUGAGACUUUCAAGCUUCGAUUUGUACAAACUGGUACUAUUCAAUUUGCAUAAGCUGCUAUGCUAGGUUAGUGAGG
Molecule: unclassified non-coding RNA, 621 nt
Filed under: Hevea brasiliensis (rubber tree)
Lineage: Eukaryota; Viridiplantae; Streptophyta; Magnoliopsida; Malpighiales; Euphorbiaceae
Source: RNAcentral